RNA transcript from Daphnia pulicaria, 14332 nucleotides. It is a transcript of the gene named dynein axonemal heavy chain 12-like, with no coding region annotated. NCBI's taxonomy places the organism in Eukaryota, Metazoa, Arthropoda, Branchiopoda, Diplostraca, Daphniidae. The transcript has 53 exons. The record is from RefSeq and is a predicted model, not a curated record.
UAGAGCGUCCUAGUGAUCAAACGCUAAUGAGUUUUGUUUACUCAUUGGUCUGUUGCUAGUUUCAUUGAAAUAACAAAAAAAUCUGACCCUAUCCACGGCGCAGGUCACUUUAUUCAUGCAAUUUUAUAUCAGUAAGAAAAAUAGUUGGAUCGGCCGUGUUUGUUUAGGAAUGAUAGCAAUAGUCCCGACUGCGAGUCGCUCAACAGACAUCGAUCCAACAUCCGGUUGUCCUUGCAGGUAACACCGUUGAACUUCAUUCUCUUCAACACCCACCCCAACAACUAAUAAUAACGUAUUCAAUGUUCUUGCGGUUCUUGUUUUCAACGUUGGAUAAUUAUAGAUAUUUUUAGGUCUAUUGUUUAAAAGGUGAGUGUUUAUCUUCUCAUAGAUUUUAGAAUAAAUUCAUUUAUGUUAAAUUACAGCUAUGCUGCCUUGUUAGAAUGGUCAAAACAGCUCCCUGAUUUAAAUACGUCCAAAAUCAGACAAAAAUGAAUAGACGGAAGAUCAAACAGCAAGUCAGCGAAAAGCAAAAGCUGACUGAAGUGAUGGCCGAUAUCCGCGAAAAGGAUCGCGAAAGGAUAGUUUUCUUCCGUCAGAUUGGAGAAAUUGCUGAUAGAUAUGCUUGGAAAGGCAUCCACCAGAACGGCAAUCAUGGUAAGAAAAAACGCCCGACAGGAAGAAUUCCAGCUAUUCCUACAAGUAUAGUCCCUCCCGGGAAUAAGUCAAUGGUUCCAUUUCCCUCUCUGUGGAUGGAGUCCGUUUUUAAACGUGUUGGAUUAGAAAUCCGGAACCAGUCGUUGACGAAUGAGCUUAAACAAGAAGUAGAUUUGGAUUACUGUACUGCAAUUAAGAACAUCAAGACAUCCAAUUUAGUAAAACCACCAAUUUCAGCUGGAGAAUAUGGACUCGUACUGGAUAACAGUAAAAAUAGUUUCAAAGAGGCUCUUCGUGUUAUUCAACGCAAUUUAAUUCGAUGUCAUCCUCUAAUUCAUCGGCCGGCCGUUCAUUUACGCUCAAAAUUGAUCAAUGUUCGAUUGAAACCACUAUUAAGAGGAGAGUACAUAUCACUUGAGGACAUGAUUGAUUCCAUUUGGUCGGAAUGGAAGAAAACUACAGAUGAAUUCAAGGAAGCCGCACUCAGCGUUCGCCAACGAAUACUCAUCAAAACGAAAAACAGUCCAACAGCAGUUCAACGACUAGCCAGAAUUGAUGCCACUGUAUGCGUCAUGCUUUCCUUGCAGGUCCAAGAAACUUGUGCAAGACUGAUGAAAGAUUUGGCAGUUUUACUUGGAAGCCCCGCAUUCGUUCCAUUAUCGAUUGGCGUUGGCUGCUGUAAUCAAGAAAAUGUGAUCACCGUUACUCACACAGCUGAAGAUAUCGAAAAGGCUCUAUUGGAUCUUCUCGAAAAAAUUACUGUCAAUGUACCUUUCGAUGCUGAUGCUAUCCCUGCAAAAUGCAACCUAAGUCUCACCGUACCGACUGAUGUGCAGUUAAUUUUCGAAGAUAGUAUCCGACGUUUUUCCGCUAAGUGCCGUGAAGAGAAAGAUUUCUAUCUUAAAGAAUGUGACACGCGCUUUGGCGAUAUCAUUCGUGGAGAAGUAACCGCUAAAACAGACGAGCUUUUGGCUGCUGAAGAAUGUAGCAUCGAUGUGUUUAUCCCUGCAAUAAUUAAACUUCGUUCUCGGCUUAAGCAGGCUGGCCUUCUUUGGGAAAUCUACCCUUACCAUCGUUUAUGGUUCUUGAAUGUGGAAUUGAAGGUCGAGAUUCACAGCCAGUUGACAAAUGAUAAAACCCGUUUGAAAGAGUGUUUGCUAGGAAAAUAUCGCAAGGAAACUAAUCGGUUGCUGGCGGAAUUGGAUCGAAUGAAAAAACAGAUUCUGCAGCCUCCUUCAAACACAAUGGAACUGCUGGGACGUAGUGCCUACUUGGAGGAAGCUCGCAAUAAACCCCUGAACGAUCUGAUCGCCUCUAUGACAGCACUCAAAGGACUUUUCGUUCGGCUUACAGAGAUUGUCACUUAUAGCGAUGCUGAUGUUAUAAGAUCUUCGCAAGCAUUCUUCGGACCUGACGAGAUUGUACCUAUGCUUGACGAUGGCACUGAGUUGAUCGCAAAAUAUCGGAGGCAAUUCGAAGAUCGCUAUCAGGAAGUACUUGAAAAGACACAAAAAGAUUUGAAGCGCUUGAAGGUGAAAAUGAAACAUUUUAACAAUUGUGGUGACUGGGAAUCGGUAGAGCAUUACGUUAAAGACAUUACGACAAUGUCCCGUAAAGUUCAAGAGAUUCAAAAAACAGCCAACUGGAUUACCCAAGAAGAAAUUCAGCUCAAGUACCCCAUCACAUCAUUCCCGGAAAUUGUAGAGAUUAACAAUUAUAUUGAGCCCUACAUUCGCCUUUACGUCAGCGUUCACUCUUGGCGAAAACUGCUGAAACGCUGGUUAGAUGGUGAUUUCCAUAAUUUGAAUGCUGAUGAUAUAGAAAAUCAAACGGACGAAAUGUCGAGGGAAAUGUUUCGACUCCAAAAAGUGUUUCGAGCUAGAGGAAAACAAUUGGAAGUUGGUAACGCUCAGUCAAGAAAAGCAAACGAAGGCGCCAACCAAAUGGGAUCAUCUUUAAAGAUGUGUCAAAGAGGGCUAGAUGACGUGAAAGAUUUCAAGGUACAAUUACCGCUAGUUGGAGUUAUAUGCAAUCCUGGUCUAAGGGAACGACACUGGAAAGACAUGUCGGAGCUAGUAGGCAAAGAUUUAAAGCCAAACACCGGAACGACGCUGAGAAAGUUCUUGAAUCUCGGCUUGAUGCCCUAUUUAGAAAAGUUUGAAGUGAUCAGUGGAGCAGCCAGCAAAGAAUUUAGUUUAGAAAGAGGCAUGAAAUCUAUGGCUGAAGAAUGGAAUGUCGUGGUUUUUUCUACCGCCAAAUACAGAGACACAGACACACCUAUUUUGGCAGGCGUGGAUGAAAUUCAAGCUCUUUUAGACGACCACCUUAUUAAAACACAAACCAUGAAAGGAUCGCCUUUCGUCCGACCAGUAGAAAAGCAAUUACUCGCAUGGGAGAGUACUUUGUUGAGAAUUCAACAGACUAUCGAGGAAUGGCUGGUAGUUCAAAGUCAGUGGCUGUAUCUGGAUCCGAUUUUUUCAUCACCAAAUAUUAUCGAUCAAAUGCCUGAAGAGGCUGCUUUAUUUAAGAGCGUCGAUUCAAUCUGGCACAGCGUUAUGAGUGCACUGGUUUCAGAUCCAAAUGUGAUGCAAACAGCCGGAUCGGUAGGAUUGCUAGAACAGUUGACCCAUUCGUCAAAACUUCUUGAACAAAUCAACUUUGGUGUCAACGCGUACCUCGACAAAAAGCGGCUAUAUUUUUCAAGGUUCUUUUUCCUUUCGAACGAGGAAAUGCUGGAUAUUUUGUCAGAAACGAAGGACCCGCUGAGAGUACAGACUCACCUUAAAAAGGUCUUUGAAGGGAUCGCUUCGUUAGAGUUUGAUGAGGAUUAUGUUAUUCACGCAAUGAUCAGUCCGCAAGGAGAGCGAGUUCCAUUCAUCAAUCCAGUAAGGACUGCAGAUGCUCGAGGAAGCGUUGAAGUUUGGCUUCUUCAGGUUGAGGAAGCUAUGAUUGAUGCGUGCCGCGGUACAAUCCAGCAAUCGCUAAAAACCUGCGUCGAAUCAAGCCGACACGAUUGGGUAGCGAAGACCCCGGGACAAGCUGUACUCUGCGCCGCUCAAGUUCAAUGGGCGGCUGGUAUCACUCACGCUAUUAUGCAAGGACCUAAAGCGCUGAAGCAGUAUUAUAAGGACCUAUGCUGUAAAUUGAACGAGAGCGCUUCGCUGGUAAAAAUGCCUUUGGCUAAAUUAGCGCGUACUACUUUGGGAGCUCUGGUGGUAACAGAAGUACAUACACGAGAUCUCGUCCAUGAACUGAUAGAAAAUGAUGUCACCGACAUAAACAACUUUAGUUGGAUUUCCCAAUUACGCUAUUACUCAGAAGAAAACAACGAAAUUCUUGUAAGGAUGAUUAAUGCUACAUUGAAAUACGCAUACGAGUACUUGGGCAAUACAUCGAGAUUGGUUAUCACACCACUGACUGAUCGCUGCUACCGAACACUCAUCGGAGCAUACCACUUGCAUUUGAGUGGUGCACCGGAGGGUCCAGCUGGAACGGGUAAAACCGAAACAACAAAAGAUUUGGCCAAAGCACUAGCCGUCCAGUGUCUGGUAUUUAAUUGCUCGGAUGGUCUGGAUUAUGUGGCUAUGGGAAAGUUUUUUAGGGGUCUUGCAUCAUCCGGAGCAUGGGCAUGUUUUGAUGAGUUCAACCGAAUUGAGGCUGAAGUGUUAUCAGUGGUUGCCCAGCAAAUGCUCUCUAUUUUACACGCCAUUCAAUCUCACAUGAAGACUUUCAUUUUUGAAGGGAUUGAACUUAAAUUAAAUCCCAUGUGCUUUGUCUGUGUAACUAUGAAUCCUGGAUACGCGGGUCGUUCUGAACUGCCAGACAAUUUGCGGGUUCUUUUCCGGACUGUGGCCAUGAUGAUUCCUGAUUAUUCAAUGAUUGGAGAGAUCUCACUUUACUCUUACGGAUUCACAGAUGCGCGUAACCUAGCCACAAAAAUUGUCACCACCUAUAAACUUUGCUCUGAGCAGCUGUCCACGCAGUCACAUUACGAUUACGGUAUGCGUGCUGUGAAGUCUGUGCUGGUAGCCGCUGGUAAUCUCAAAGUCCAGUCACCGACCGACGCAGAAGACUCCCUUAUCCUUCGAUCCUUAAUGGAUGUAAAUUUGCCCAAGUUCUUGGCUGGAGAUCUUACUCUAUUUCAUGGUAUCAUAGCUGAUCUUUUUCCUGAAAUUCCUCUGCCUCAGUCUAAACACAAUGCUUUGCUGGCUGCCAUUCAACAGGCUUGCGAUGAGAGAGACCUGUUGUUGACGGAUAAAUUUGCACAGAAAGUGAUCCAAAUGUACGAGAUGAUGUUAGUCCGACAUGGAUUCAUGCUCGUCGGUCGACCAAUGGGAGGCAAAUCGACAGUGAUUCAAGUUUUGGCAGCUGCUUUGAAUUUUCUUUCAACGAAGGAUAACGAAGAAACUGGCGUCAUUUAUCGCACGCUGAAUCCGAAAGCGGUUACACCCGGAUUGUUAUUCGGCCAGUUCGAUCCUGUAACUCACGAAUGGGUUGAUGGCAUUGUGUCUCUCAUAUUUCGCGAACUAUCAACUUCGGAGUCAACAGCCCGAAAAUGGAUCAUCUUUGACGGACCGGUAGAUGCUGUUUGGAUAGAAAAUCUCAACACAGUAUUGGAUGACAAUAAAAAACUUUGUCUAGCGUCGGGUGAGAUCAUCGGCCUCACACCAUCGAUGUCUUGUAUAUUUGAAGUCAUGGAUUUGGCACAGGCGUCACCUGCAACUGUUUCUCGUUGCGGUAUGGUUUAUGUCGAUCCCGGUGAUCUUGGUUGGCAACCCCUCUUUCAUACCUGGCUUAAGUCCUUCACGUCAAACUGGAAAGCCGCAUUAGAACCGGUACUCAUCAGUCUGAUUCAGUGGCUUGUUCCAGCCUCUCUUAGUGGCAUCCGCAAAUUUGGUGUCGAGUUGCUGGUUGUGGAGGAGAACAGCAAAGUCUCGUUUCUCUUACGUAUGGUGCAAGCUUUAAUGCAACGGUGUUGUGCCGGAUUGAAAGAUGUCAGAUAUGGCCGUGCCUGGCUGCAGGCUUCAAUACUUUUUGCGCUCACGUGGACAGUUGGCGGAGCUCUAGAAAGCGAAAGUCAGAUCAAAUUUGACACCUUUGUGAGAUCGCUGUUGUCAGGAAAAAGUGAGGCCUUUCCAUAUCCAACAAGUGCUGGACGUUGGGAGUGUCAUUUACCUUCUGACGGAACCCUUUAUGAUUACGUUUACGAGUACAAGCAGCGUGGUCAGUGGCGUCAGUGGGCUGAAACUGUCCGGAAUAUACCCAUUCCUGAUGCAAAAUCUCUUAAGGAACUUACUAUACCUACGGUUGACACUGCAAGGUACUCGUAUCUAUUGGAUCUAAGCAUAGCUAGCCGUACACCAAUACUACUUGUUGGCCCCACUGGAACGGGAAAAUCUCUUUGCAUCCAGGAAAAAAUGAGUGGAUUCAGCGAUGAAGAAUUCGCCUCCCUUUCUCUAACGUUCACUGCUCAAACAUCGGCAGCUCAAGUUCAGGAUUUGAUAUUGAGUCGGUUAGAGCGGCGCAAAAAAGGUAUCUAUGGUCCACCGGCCGGUCGUCGAUGUUUGGUUUUUGUUGAUGACCUCAACAUGCCAGCAAAAGAAACUUAUGGAGCACAGCCAUCUCUAGAACUUCUCCGGCAGUACUUUGAUUAUCAUCAAUGGUAUGACCGCAAAGAGGCUAAUCUUCUGGAUAUUCAAGAUAUUCAAAUUUGGGGAGCAAUGGGUCCUCCUGGUGGUAGUCGUCAAGAGAUAUCUCCACGAUGUCUACGCCAUUUUCAUAUUAUUGCCAUCAAUCCGUUCUCCGAUUCUACAAUGACCCAUAUCUUCAGUACCAUAUUAACAAUCCACUUAAGCAAAGGAGGAUUUCCUCCAGACGUCUUCAGUCUUGUCGGUUCUAUCGUUUCUGCAACUUUGGAGAUCUACCGUGCAGCUUUAAGAAUACUCCUCCCCACACCAUCAAAAGCUCAUUAUGUUUUCAGUCUGAGAGAUUUUGCUCGAGUCAUUCACGGUUGUUGUCUCAUUCAAAAGGAUGCUGUUGAGAACCGUAGAACAUUUUUGAGGCUUUGGAUUCACGAAGUAUUACGCGUCUUCGGUGACCGACUAGUUGACGAGAAUGACACCAAUUGGUUGUACAACAUGCUUCGUGAAUGCGUCCGCACCCAUUUUCGGGAGAACUUUGACGGUUUACUUGAACAUCUUGGUCGCACCGAUGGCAGAGUGACGUUGGCCAGUCUAGAAAAUUUAAUGUUUGGAGAUUAUACUGUGCCAGACUUGCUUCAAGAAGACAGAACUUACAAGGAGGUUACCGACGUGACGCGGCUCGAUUCGGUCAUUAUGAGUUACAUCACAGACUAUAAUAAUACGAAUAAAUCCCGAUUGAAUCUCAUCCUUUUCCAAUAUGUGCUAACACACUUGAGCCGGAUUAGUCGCGUGUUGCGGAUUUCAGGUGGUCAUGCUCUGUUGAUUGGUGUAGGUGGAUCAGGAAGACAAUCCCUAACGAAAUUGGCAGCUUCCAUGGCAGGAUACACGCUUUUUCAGCCGACUGCCAAACCUAAUUACGGACUAAAUGAAUGGCGCGAAGAUGUAAAACGUGUACUGCGAACGGCUGGUGGUCUUGGUCGUGACGUUGUCUUUCUAAUUUUGGACUCUCAACUCAAUAAUGCUUCGUUCCUUCAAGACAUUGAUUCAAUGCUAAACAGUGGCUUGGUACCUAACAUCUUUUCUGUGGAAGAGAAGCAAGAGUUGAUUGAAUUGGUCAGGAAAAAUCGACAGAGUGCCCCACAAAUGGAAAGCAGCCCGGCGUCGCUUAUGACUUAUUUUGCGCAGCAAUGCAAAGAUCAUUUACACUUGGUGUUGGCAUACAGCCCAUUGGGAUCCAGCCUACGCGAUAGUGUCCGAUAUUUCCCUUCUUUAAUUAACUGCUGCACCAUCGAUUGGUUUGAAGCAUGGCCAGAAGAAGCGUUGGAAAACGUAGCUGUAAGCACAGUAGAGACGAUCGAAAUUCCCGCUGAUACAAAACGUCAAGUAGUUGUGGCGUGCAAAUAUUUCCACACUACGGCAACGAAAUACGCAAACAUGUUUACGCUUAAACUAGGUCGACCAGUUUAUGUCACUCCGGCGUCUUACCUAUCACUAUUGGACGGAUUUCGCAAUUUGAUGUCGGAGCAACAGCAACAAAUCAGGCAGGCAAUUGAGCGAUAUCGCAGCGGUUUGUCUCGCUUAGCUGAAGCGUCCGCUCAAGUCAACCAGAUGCAGAUCGAAUUGUCAGAACUGCAACCAAAACUUGUGGAAGCUUCCAAACAAACGGAUCUCAUGAUGAAAACUAUUCAACAAGAAUCUGCGGAAGUAGAGAAAACGUCGACACUGAUUCGAGCCGAUGAAGUUGCCGCAAACGAGGAAGCUGCAGUUUCUACAGCAUUGAAAGCCGAAUGUGAAGCUGAUUUAGCCGAAGCAUUACCUGCAUUAGAAGCUGCUUUGGCUGCUCUCGAUACUCUCAAACCCGCUGAUAUUACUUUGGUUAAAUCAAUGAAGAAUCCACCGAAGGUUAUUAAAACGGUUAUGGCUGCCGUAUGUGUUAUGAAAGACAUCAAACCGGAGAAAAUUCUUGAUCCUGAUGGUUCCGGCAAAAAGAUCCUUGACUUCUGGGGGCCCAGUAAAAAGUUGCUCAAUGAUUUAGGCUUUCUUACUCAAUUGAAAGAAUACAAAAAGGAUACGAUCCCGCCUCACAUUAUGCAGCGAAUUCGCACAGAGUUUUUACCGAAUCCAGAUUUUGAGCCAUCAGUUGUUGCUAAAGCGUCCAGCGCAGCUGAAGGUCUUUGCAAAUGGGUGAAAGCCAUUGAAAUCUACGACAAAACGGCCAAAAUUGUAAUGCCGAAAAAAGCCAGGUUAGCUGCAGCCGAGGCUAGUCUUGAAGAGACGAUGAAUCUGUUGAACUUGAAGCGAAAUCAGUUAGCUGUAUUAGAAGCUCGGCUGGCUCAAUUGAAAGAUGAUUAUGCCGAAGGAUGCAGAAAACGGCAACAGUUGUCCGACGAUGUUGACAUGUGCUCCAAAAGACUCAGCCGAGCAUCAGCUUUGAUUGGUGGCUUGGGAACGGAAAGAGAGCGUUGGUCAGAUGCCGAGAUCAAAUUAAUGGAUAAAUUGGAGAAUUUGACUGGAGACAUUAUGCUCUCCGCUGCUGUGAUGGCCUAUAUGGGUCCUUUGACAUCGGCCUUCCGCGAUCAGUGUUCCGCCGAUUGGGUUCAAUUUACCACCAACUUGGGAAUACCGUGCUCAGCCCGUUUCAGCUUGUCUGACACGCUUGGUUCUGCCGUUCGGAUUGAAGGUUGGACAGAAGCGGGUCUCCCUAGAGAUAGUUUUUCUAUUGAUAAUGCAGUCAUGGUAUACCAUCAAAAGAAGUGGCCACUGCUUAUUGAUCCACAAGGCCAAGCGAAUGCGUGGUUAAAAUGCUGGGAACUCGAUCGAGGUUUAGUCGUCUUACGAGCCGGCCAAUCUGACCUUCUCCGCCAGUUAGAACAAACAAUUCCUUCUGGACGUCCUGUACUUAUUGAAGAAGUAGGCGAAGAACUUGAUCCUUCCUUAGAUCCCCUUUUAUCGCGCUCCAUUCAGAAGCAAGGUGGAGUGGAAAUGAUACAGAUAGGUGAUGGAAUGGUCGAAUAUCACCGCGAUUUCCAGCUAUACAUGACUAGCAAGCUGCGAAAUCCUCAUUUCCUUCCAGAAGUAACAACUAAAGUUUUAGUCAUCAACGCCGCCAUCACUUUGAAAGGCUUGGAGGACCAAUUGCUCGGAAUUGUGGUUGCCGAAGAAAGGCCAGACUUGGAAGAGAUGCGUCAAAGGUUGGUCAAAGAAGGUGCUGCGUGUCGCUCAGCCUUGCAAGAAGUAGAGGACCAGAUAUUGGCUACGUUGAGUAAAGGGGGUAACUUGUUGGAAGAUGAAGCGGCCAUUCGUGUUUUGGACGAAUCUAAAGUACUUUCGGCUGAAAUCGUUACAAAGCAGCAGAUGGCUUCAGAAACGUCAGUACGGAUGGAACAAUCAAGACAGGCUUACAUGCCAGUAUCCCAGCACGCAGCAGUUCUCUUUUUCUGUUUGGCGGAAUUAAUCAACCUCAGUCCAAUGUACCAAUAUUCCCUUAAGUGGUUCAUUCGACUAUUUCUUCACUCUAUCCGCAACUCAAGCCGCCCGGAACGCGUUGAAGAACGGCUGGAGAUACUUCAGAAUCAUUUCGACCGUGCAUUGUACACCAACGUUUGCCGGAGUCUUUUUGAAAAAGACAAACUUCCAUUCAGCAUGGCUCUAACUUCUUCACUUAUGAUACAACGCGGAGAAAUGUCCUCCGCUGAGAUCGACCUCUUUCUUACAGGCAGCAAGAGUUUGACCCGCGGAAUAGCAGCUGAAUGCCCUGAAUGGCUCAGUUUAAAGACGUGGGAUCAAAUCUGUCAGUUGGCGGGUGAGCCACCCUUCAUUGACGCCAAUCGAUCCUUGAUGCGAGGGUCAGAUCAGUGGCAAUCUGUCGCCGAUGCAAUCAAUCCCUACGAAAUGGAUUUGCCAGAAGACUGGAAUAAGAAAUGGAAACCAUUCCAGCGGCUCCUUUUCCUGCGCUACUUGGCACCCAGUAAAAUUGUUCGUAUGGUUAGAACAUUUGUGGCUGAACAACUUGGCGUGGAGUUCGUCCAGCCGCCUCCGUUCGAUUUGUCUUGCUCUUUUGAUGACUCAGAUUCAACUACUCCGUUAAUCUUCCUGCUAACUGCUGGCGCUGAUCCUAUGGCCUGCUUACUUCGAUUUGCUGAAGAGUAUCGAUCUGGUGAUGGAACGCUUCACAUUGUUUCACUUGGCCAGGGACAGGGCGUCCUAGCUGAAGAAAAAAUCCGCCAGGCGAUCGUCAGUGGAGAGUGGGUCAUCCUACAAAACUGUCAUUUAGCAGCGUCGUGGAUGCCCGCCCUGGAGCGCAUCUGUCAAAAAUUGGGCAGCCAAACUAUCCAUCCCAAAUUUCGACUUUGGUUGACCAGUUAUCCAUGGGAAAGCUUCCCAGUAUCUAUAUUACAGAACGGUGUUAAAAUCACGAACGAGCCUCCUGUUGGAUUAAAAGAAAAUGUACUCAGAACUUUCAAUCCUGAUCCUUUGGACGAUCUUGUUCAACAGCAAGAUCAACUUGAAUGGCCUACCCAAAAAAUGUUGACCCUUCGGAAACUGAGCUACUCUCUCUGCUUUUUCCACGCACUGGUACAAGAAAGACGGACCUACGGUGCUAUAGGUUGGAACAUACCUUACGCAUUCGAUGAUUCUGAUUUGCAAAUUUCACUGAAACAAAUUCGCAUCUUUGUGACUGAUUACGAACAAGUCCCAUAUCAGGCACUGCAAUACUUAGUAGGAGAAUGUCAUUAUGGUGGACGAGUGACAGACGAUUGGGAUCGGCGUACGCUGAGCACUCUACUGGCAGAUUUCUGCAAUCCAGAAUUGGUUGAAAAUCCUACAUAUUCCCUUGUACAACCAGUGCAUCCAAUGUACCAUCUGCCACAUUCGGCUGAUUACGAAUCAUUUUUGGAGGCAGUCCAACGUUUGCCGGUUUUGCAAGCACCAAACGUUUUUGGAAUGCACGACAACGUUACUAUUGGACGCGAUUUGCUCGAAGGAGACUAUCUACUAAGUAGCCUUCUUUCUCUGCAAGGUUGCUAUUCUUCCGGAAUAGACGAAAGUGAAGAAGGCGAGCAAGCUGAAGGAGAAGAAACUCGGGAAGAUUCAGGCGAGAAAUCGCAACAGCAAACUGCUCCGCCUCCAGCAGCCUCAUCUCAAAAGAAGCCUACGGACGCAAUUUUGAAUGAAAUGAUUCAGGAUUUGAUCCAACAGUUACCGGACAACUUUGAUUUGGAUUUGGCUGAGGAAAAAUUUCCGAUUAAUUAUCUCCAACCACUGAACACAGUUCUGGUUCAAGAGAUGGGACGUUACAAUCGACUGGUCGGUAUCAUCCGCACAAAUCUUGGCUCACUGCAACGAGCUGUUUGCGGGCAUGUAACAAUGACGGCCGAGUUGGAAGCUACUGGAAAAGCAUUACUAAGCAAUCGUGUUCCAGCCGUCUGGAGAGCAGCUUCUUAUCCUAGUCUAAAACCAAUGCGAGGCUAUUUUAGUGAUUUACUGGAACGGUUGCAGUUCUUCAGAUCGUGGUAUGAAGAAGGUCAGCCAGUGAUUUUUUGGCUUCCGGCUUUCUACUUUCCUCAAUCCUUCCUUACUGGGGCUCUGCAAACAACGGCUCGUAAAAACCGAAUCCCAGUUGAUUGUCUUUACCACCACUGCCGAGUUAUGAGUCCCCAAAAAUUUGGCAAUCUUGAAACCCCUCCAACGGAAGGAGUUUACGUCCGUGGUUUGUUUCUUGUUGGAGCUCGCUGGGACGGUGACGAGGAAACCUUAACCGAACAACGUCCCAAGAUUUUAUGGGAAGAAAUGCCCGUUCUCUGGCUGAAUCCAUCCGAACAUCUUAAAGCUGGUAAACAGAUGAAUCAACAGGACACCUAUACGUGCCCACUUUACCGUACAUCUGAGCGACGGGGAGAGCUGUCAACAACAGGUCAUUCUACUAACUUCGUUAUGUCGCUCGAGCUGCCGACCAAAAUACCACACACCCAUUGGAUAAAGCGAGGCGUGGCCCUUAUCACUCAAUCAGACGAUUAAAUGUAAGUGUUUGAAUCCAAAAACCCUCCGUUGAUCUGUCAUUAGAUGUAAGAUAAGAUAUGAAUACUGGUAUUUCAAAGUUACUUCACUUUGUAAAACACUAAAUAACGUAGUUAAAUGACUAGUUGUGUUGAAAAUGUAGAAAAUCGCUUUUUAACAGCAAAUUGAAGCAUUGUUUCUCUUUAAUUAUUUUUUGAGUUCCCCUUGUAAUUACGUCAAGUUCCAUGCCGUACAUUUAGUAAGUUACUUAUCUACGCUUACACUCAGAGAUGCCGCGAUCGAUUGCUGAUCAAGAUCGAUUGUGAUCGAUCGAUCCGUUUUGCUGAUCGUGAAACGAUCGAACGGCAGCUCUGCUUACACUGAUAAUGAAUAGAUAAAAAAAAAGAUAACGACUGGACUACAUAUGACGAUAUGCAUACACCAUGAAACAUUUAGGAGUAUGUGUUCAAGUUAUUCACUUCAUUGUUGAACCGUGGAUGAAAUGCUAACUUGAGUUAUUAAAAAUUAAACGUAUUAUUUAGUAACAUUAUUGCCGUGUAUAACAUACUAAAUCAGUGACUAAAAAAGAAUUGAAAUGAAGCAAGGAAACAUUUCAAUAUCGAAACUCAAUUGCAAAAAGGUUUUUGUGAUAUUUCUGAUUUUAAACGUAGUGCUCGCAGUUGUACUGUUUGGAAGACAAAAUGAAAAUUUCAGUUUUCAACAGCUCUAUUCGCCUUCUAACACAUCUUUGUUUGAUGUAUUCCAGAGUGCUCCAACACUGCGUGAAAAUAAAACUAUUUUGAUAUGGAACAGUGCACAUCGGAUCGAGACGGCCGCAUUUGGAUUUGAACUCGACUCAUUUCGCCGGCAUGGUUGCGAAGUUUCUGAUUGCAUUGUUUUCGACAAUGCAACAUCACACGAAUUAUUGCCGCUUGAAGAUUACGAUGCAAUCAUUAUUCACAUGCAUGAGCUGUAGUUAACACACCUGCCAGAAUUUCAGAGAAAAUCACAUCAGCGCUUAAUUUUUCUAUCGCAAGAAUCGCCUACUACACUGCCCAUCGACGUAACUAAGUUUGAGUUUCACCGCUUCCGACAGCACCCAAAACUUCAGAAGAAACGCUCAAAAUGAUUGAAGAAACGCAUCUCUCAUCAACCAAAAACUACGCUGCCAACAAAACCUCGCCGGUCGUUUGGAUGGCAUCUCAUUGUGGUACUCACAGUUUGCGAGAAACUUACGUGCGUCAGCUUGGAAAAUUCAUCCCUGUCGAUGUUUAUGGCGGAUGCGGUAAUUUGAGUUGCUCUCGAAAUCACUCACACUGGCUAUCUUUCCCGCAGUGCUACAACGUAUUGGAGGAGAAAUACAAAUUCUAUUUGUCGUUCGAAAAUUCAAUCUGCACCGAUUACGCCACGGAAAAAUUCUUUGAGAUUCUGAAGCACAAUAUGAUUCCGGUCGUCUACGGAGGAGCCAACUAUAGCCAGAUCGCACCACCCCAUUCUUACAUUAAUGCACUGGAUUUUACUCCGGAGAAAUUGGCCGUGUACCUGAAACUUGUUGAUUCCAACGACACGCUCUACAAUGAGUAUUUCUGGUGGAAGGAUCACUAUGAGGUAGAAGCUGGAGUGGAACAAAUGGCCAGCCACGGUUUCUGCGACUUGUGCAAGAAACUUCACCAAGAUCAAGGUGUAAUCAAGUACUAUUCCGAGUUAGUUUCGGAGUGGCAUUACAAUACGCAAUGUCAUCAGUUUACUUCUUGGGAAACUCAAAGUUAGCAACAAAUUAUAACCAUCAUUUUCAUACUUACCAUGGCAAACUUUCUUAACCUCUGAUCCCAUUCCGCGUUUGAUUUGGUUUCAUUUAUUUAUCUGUGAGUUCUAUGUCUAUAAUAUCUGCUAGGGAACUGAUUAAAUGUAUGUUAAUCGAAUAGCUAAAAAUCAACUAAAUUGUUACAUUUGGAACAUGAUAUGGAAUAAUGAACCAUUAAUAAGAAAUCCGUUAAAAGUCACGUUUUCUGCAACGAAAUAAAAGAACCUGAAACAGC